This 551-nucleotide ribosomal RNA is filed under the name uncultured bacterium. Its description in RNAcentral is "partial 16S ribosomal RNA". It matches the Rfam family "Bacterial small subunit ribosomal RNA", at positions 355 to 897 of the family's 1533-position model. The record is from RNAcentral.
UGGGGAAUAUUGCGCAAUGGGCGAAAGCCUGAUGCAGCCAUGCCGCGUGUGUGAAGAAGGCCUUCGGGUUGUAAAGCACUUUCAGCGAGGAGGAAGGGUAGUGUGUUAAUAGCACAUUGCAUUGACGUUACUCGCAGAAGAAGCACCGGCUAACUCCGUGCCAGCAGCCGCGGUAAUACGGAGGGUGCAAGCGUUAAUCGGAAUUACUGGGCGUAAAGCGCACGCAGGCGGUUUGUUAAGUCAGAUGUGAAAUCCCCGCGCUUAACGUGGGAACUGCAUUUGAAACUGGCAAGCUAGAGUCUUGUAGAGGGGGGUAGAAUUCCAGGUGUAGCGGUGAAAUGCGUAGAGAUCUGGAGGAAUACCGGUGGCGAAGGCGGCCCCCUGGACAAAGACUGACGCUCAGGUGCGAAAGCGUGGGGAGCAAACAGGAUUAGAGUACCCUGGUAGUCCACGCUGUAAACGAUGUCGACUUGGAGGUUGUGCCCUUGAGGCGUGGCUUCCGGAGCUAACGCGUUAAGUCGACCGCCUGGGGAGUACGGCCGCAAGGUUAA